GCGAGUUAAUUACAUGUGCAGUAAAUAAGAAGAAAUUUUCAAACAUAUUUGUCUCACGACUGGACACAUGCAUAUGUAUGCAUGGAGUGACAUGACAUUUAAAUUCCAAAAAACUAAAAAAAUAUCAGAAACACAUGAAACCUUGGUUGAUGUAAUGUCAUGCCACCAAGAUGAUGUGGUAAAAAAAUUGGCAUGUUUGGCGAAAGUUUGGACACACACCCUUCACAAACCGGAGCAACUCACUAGAAGGCUCGUGGUUCCGAGAGGGAACACUGCAUGUUUGAUGACGAACGGGAGAUAGCUUCCUGUUACGGCCUUCAAAUUUUUUCUACAUCUAACGUGCAAUACUACAACUGUACUGUGAAAUUUUGGAAAAUUCUAGGGGUCAUUUGACUUUUAAUGACAUUUAAUUGAUUUUCUAGCCAUUUAAUGAGCGUAAUUCACAUUUGAACUACAUCUACAUGCAAUGCCUAACCAUAACGGUUUGAAAAAUCAUAUUUGUGUACAUGGAGUGACAUGGCAUUUAAAAUCCAAAAAACGAAAAAAAAUCAGAAACACAUGAAGCCUUGGUUGAUGUAAUGUCAUGCCACCAAGAUUAUGUGGUAAAAAAAUUGGCAGGUUUGACGAAAGUUUGGACACACACCCCUCACAAAACGGAGCAACUCUCUAGAAGGCUCGUGGUUCUGUGACGCCCUCGAUUCAAUUGUACACUAAUCAUACACGCAAAUGUGUACGAUCAAGAUCAAGCACUCACGGGAAAAUAUCACAACACAACUCUAGACACAAAUUAAAAUAAUACAAGCUUUAUAUUACAAGCUAGGGGCCUCGAGGGCUCGAAUACAUAAGUUCGAAAACACAUGACUCGGCGGAAGCAACAAUAUUUGAGUACAGACAUAAGUUAGACAAGUUUGCCUUAAGAAGGCUAGCACAAAAGCAACAUCGAUCGAAAAGGCAAGGCCUCCUGCCUGGGAGCCUCCUAACUACUCCUGGUCGUCGGCGGCCUCCACGAAGUAGUAGGAGCCCUCAGUGUAGUAGCAGUCGUCGUCGAAGGUGGCGUCUGGAUCCUGGGCUCCACCAUCUGGUUUCAUCAACUGGAAAGAAGAAGAAAGGGGGAAAAGGGGGAGCAAAGCAACCGUGAGUACUCAUCCAAAGUACUCAAAAGCAAGGAUCGGCACUACAUAUGCAUUGGUAUCAAUGAAAUGGGUUGUAUCUGUGGACUGGACUACAGAAUGCCAGAAGAGAAGGGGAAAGCCUAGCCUAUCGAAGACUAGCAUCUUCAAGCAGCUCCAAGUAUCUUGCAGCAUUCAGAAAAGAUGAGUGUAGCAUAAAUUAAAGUAGUAGUAGUGUUAUCAACCUCGGCUAGAGAUCCUUUCUCGACUCCCUGCGAGAAAGCAAUCCCAGAGCCAUACUAUCCAUUUCUCAUAUCCAUGUCUCAUCUCAAGUAUCCAGUUCUAGUUGUAUCAAUCGGGAUACAACUCCAAGUGUCCGUUACCAUAGGACAGGCUAUCGAUAGAUGUUUUCUUCCCUGGAGGGGUGCACCAACUUACCCACCACGCUCGAUUAACUCCGGCCGGACACACUUUCCUGGGUCAUGCCCGGCCUCGGCCAAACAAUACGCCGCAACCCGACCUAGGCUUAAUAGAGAGGUCAGCACGCUAGACUAAACCUAUUCCCCCAGGGGUCAUGGGCCAUCGCCCCGAGAACUCCUGCACGUUGCGAACGCGGCCGGUCAGCAGACCUAGCUACCUCCUUCAAAAAGACAGGUGCUUACCAAUCCAACCCGGCGCACGCCGCCAGUCGCUGACGUCUGUUAAGCUUCGGUUGAUGCAUACGACAAAGAAAGCCCAUACUAUGCCCACGUGAUGGUUAGUGCUAUCAGGCUAGAGGCCCCUCGGAUCAAUUAUCCAAAUCGUAGUGGAUUAGGAGCACGCGGUAACAAGCAGAGACUCGCGAAAGAUGUGACACCGUUGUCCCAUCUCGAGGACUUCCGGCAAGGGCUAGGAAUGCCCGGCCACGCCUCGUAAUUAUCUUGCGGGCACCCUCCAGGUCAACCCGUCUCCACAUCACACGCGCGUACCCCUCAGGUUCGACCCGCCUCUCCAAGUAACGGUGGUAAAGUCCAAGUAUCCGUGUGUCCAAACAUCAAGGGGAAAACCCAAGGAAUCACCCCCGGUGAAUUCCACUCGAUGUAGUCAUCAAGGUGAACGUAAGAGGAUCCACCCUCGAGGUUCACACUUGAGGGGUUGCACGACAGAGUCGUAUCGGAAGUGGUUAAGGAAGAAAUCACCCUCGAUGACCACGACCGAAUAGCUACACUACAGAGAUCCCAUCAGGAGUGAUGUAUGAGGUUCCACCCUCGGCACUCGAUGGUAACUCUGCUGAGUCGAGCAACAAAAGGGGCGGGAUGUGAUGUGAGGUGUCGGGCUCCGAUCUUCGAUCCCGUUGAUCGGGUCUUCAAACAUAAAGCGGGUCAACCGGGACAAGGUGGGGGUCACUAAUGGAUCACUAACCAGCCUAUACUAAGCAUUUUAGGAUAAGCAGGUAAGGUACAAUGAGUAGGUUACAAAAGCGGGCUAAGCAUCAGAAUAGGAGCAAACAAUAACAGUAGCAAAAUCUAAUGCAAGCAUGGGAGAAUGGAAUGGGCGAUAUUGAAAUGAUCAAAGGGGGGGCUUGCCUUGUUAUUCUGGCAAGGAGGGGUCGUUGUCGACGUAGUCGAUCACAGGGGCAGCAUCGGUCUCGGGGUCUACCGGAGAGAAGAGGGGGGAGAAAUAGUAAAUGUAAAGCAAACAUAGCAUCACAAAGCAUAACGUGGCAAUAUGUUGUGCCGGGUGUGACCUAACGUAUGGCUACACGAUACAGGUGAAGGUGGAAUUCAACCGGGAAUUCCCGGUUCCGGACCUGUGUAAGACAGAUGACCGGAGGGGGAUGUUCCAUGUUCAUAUAGUUAGAGGCAUCUGACAGGUAAACGGAUCGCGCAUUCGGAUUCGUUGGAUUUUUCUGAGCAACUUUCAUAUAUAAAGUUUUUCGAUCCGAGCUACCGUUUAUUUUCUACGGAUUUUUAAAGAUUAAAGUAUUUUCUGGAGUUAUUCAAAUUAGCAGAAAUUCAUUAUGAUGUCAGCAUUGCAUGGGGAUUACGUCAGCAGUCAACAGACUCGCUGACCAGGGUCGAACCUGACCUGUGGGUCCAAUGGGACCCACAUGUCAGCCUCUGUUAGUCCAACAGGGUUUUAUACUAAUCUAGCUGGGUUAAUUAACUGGGUGGGGCCCUUCUGUCAGCGAGUGAUUAGUGUUUUGAAUAAUUAAUUUAACUAAUUAACUGGCUUGUAUUUAUUUAAAAACGUUAAAUGGACGGGACCCACAUGCCAGUGACACGGGGCCAGCCUAGUCAGCAGUUGACCCGGUUAACAGGUCAACUGGACCCACUGGUCAGUGGCACGGCGGGCCCCAGUAGUCAGUCCAAGUCAGCGGUGGCCGGCGACUCGCCGAAAUCACGCCGGCGAGCGCAUUCGUCGUGGCACGAGAAUGGGCACCGGUCGGAAACCGCGCACAGACCACCAUUUUGGCCGCGGUUGGGUGGAUUGGAACGGUGAGUCGACGGCGCAUCAACUGGCGGUGGUCGGAGUGGCUGAAACGACGGCGACGAGCUGGUUCGGGAGCUCUACGGGGAGACCAUUUCGGCGUGCGAACCAACGGAAGAAAGAGCUAGGCGGGUGCUAUGCAGUGCGGCGACUCUAACGGGCACUCGCCCAUGACCAUAAGUUCACCGGAGACUCGCCGACGACGAGCCCCGCGGCGCUGUGUUCGGGAGCGCGUGGAAAAUGUAGUUAGGAUACGCGCUAGGGCCAGCAGGGAGUGGGGAAGGAAGAGAAGCUCACCGGGGAGGCACAAGGUGGCCUGGUGUCAGCUUAGUAGCAGCAGCAGUUGCCAGAGAGGACGAAGUUCACCGGCAACAGUGGCGGAAGGGGACGGCUGGCUCGGCUCGUUGUGGAGCUCUCCGGCUCCAAUUAGGGGCACCAGACGACGCAGCUUUUCGUGGCGGAGCGCUACGGCAUGAUGGAUCGGCUCGGAGACGACGGGGACAGCAAGGACGACGGCGCGCGGCGGUAGAUGCGUUCGGGUGGUGGAUCUGAGAAGGAGGCGCGGUGACGGAGUGAGCGGGGAGAGGGGGAGAAAUGGAUGAGGACGCCAGGGAGAGCGGGGGUGAGUGGAGGCGGGGAUCGAGGAGACGGGGAGGCGCGGGGCCUUACCCCCUCGUCGGAGCUGGCGAGGUGGUCGGUCAGCGACGAGCCCCUCUAGUGGUCAUUUGACCUUUAAAAGACAUUUAGGUUUUUUUCUAGCCAUUUAAUGACUGUAAUUCAAAUUUGAACUACAUCUACAUGCAACGGCUAACCACAAUGGUUUGAAAAAUCAUAUUUGUGUGCUUUUGUGCGCGUUAAUUCCAUGUGCAGUAAAUUAUAACGAAUUUUCAAACAUAUUUGUCUCACGAUUGGACACAUGCAUAUGUAUGCAUGGAGUAAGAUGGCAUUUAAAUUCCAAAAAACUAAAAAAUAACAGAAACACAUGAAACCUUGGUUGAUGUAAUGUCAUGCCACCAAGAUGAUGUGGUAAAAAAAUUGGCAUGUUUGACGAAAGUUUGGACACACACCCC
This 4648-nucleotide long non-coding RNA is filed under the name Triticum aestivum (bread wheat). Its description in RNAcentral is "long non-coding RNA (TAES_LNC013095)". Lineage: Eukaryota; Viridiplantae; Streptophyta; Magnoliopsida; Poales; Poaceae. The record is from RNAcentral.